GGUUCGAUUCCGGAGAGGGAGCCUGAGAAACGGCUACCACAUCCAAGGAAGGCAGCAGGCGCGCAAAUUACCCAAUCCCAAUACGGGGAGGUAGUGACAAUAAAUAACAAUAUGGGGCUCUUACGGGUCUCGUAAUUGGAAUGAGUACAAUUUAAAUCUCUUAACGAGGAACAAUUGGAGGGCAAGUCUGGUGCCAGCAGCCGCGGUAAUUCCAGCUCCAAUAGCGUAUAUUAAAGUUGUUGCAGUUAAAAAGCUCGUAGUUGAAUUUCGGAGUUUGUCGGUUGGUCGGGCUUCACUGUCCGCACUGGCCUGAUGGAUUCCUACCUUCUGAAUAACCAGCAUGCUAUUAAGUUAGUGCGUUGGGGAAGCAGAGCUAUUACCUUGAAAAAAUUAGAGUGCUUAAAGCAGGCUUAUGCUUGAAUAGAUUAGCAUGGAAUAAUAAAAUAGGACGGCAUGGUUCUAUUUUGUUGGUUUCUAGGAUCACCGUAAUGAUUAAUAGGGAUAGUUGGGGGCAUUAGUAUUCAAUUGUCAGAGGUGAAAUUCUUGGAUUUAUUGAAGACUAACUUCUGCGAAAGCAUUUGCCAAGGAUGUUUUCAUUAAUCAAGAACGAAAGUUAGGGGAUCGAAGACGAUCAGAUACCGUCGUAGUCUUAACCAUAAACUAUGCCGACUAGGGAUCGGACGAUGUUAAUUUUUUAAUGACUCGUUCGGCGCCUUACGGGAAACCAAAG
RNAcentral lists this ribosomal RNA (730 nucleotides) under uncultured Glomeromycotina. Its description in RNAcentral is "SSU rRNA". It matches the Rfam family "Eukaryotic small subunit ribosomal RNA", at positions 374 to 1103 of the family's 1831-position model. The record is from RNAcentral. Lineage: Eukaryota; Fungi; Glomeromycota.